AUUGAACGCUGGCGGAAUGCUUUACACAUGCAAGUCGAACGGCAGCACGGACUUCGGUCUGGUGGCGAGUGGCGAACGGGUGAGUAAUACAUCGGAACGUGCCCAGUCGUGGGGGAUAACGUAGCGAAAGCUACGCUAGUACCGCAUACGAUCUACGGAUGAAAGCGGGGGAUCGCAAGACCUCGCGCGAUUGGAGCGGCCGAUGGCAGAUUAGGUAGUUGGUAGGGUAAAGGCCUCCCAAGCCGACGAUCUGUAGCUGGUCUGAGGGGAUGAUCAGCCACACUGGGACUGAGACACGGCCCAGACUCCUACGGGAGGCAGCAGUGGGGAAUUUUGGACAAUGGGCGCAAGCCUGAUCCAGCCAUUCCGCGUGCAGGAUGAAGGCCUUCGGGUUGUAAACUGCUUUUGUACAGAACGAAAAGGCUCUGGUUAAUACCUGGGGCUCAUGACGGUACUGUAAGAAUAAGCACCGGCUAACUACGUGCCAGCCGCCGCCGUAA
This 500-nucleotide ribosomal RNA is filed under the name uncultured bacterium. Its description in RNAcentral is "partial 16S ribosomal RNA". It matches the Rfam family "Bacterial small subunit ribosomal RNA", at positions 30 to 523 of the family's 1533-position model. The record is from RNAcentral.